UACAGAGGAGCCAAGCGUUGUCCGGAUUGACUGGGCGUAAAGCGCACGCAGGCGGACGCGCGCGUGGGGUGUGAAAUCUGGCCGCUUAACGGCCAGGCGCCAUCCCAUACGGUGCGUCUGGAGUGAUGCAGAGGUCGGUGGAAUUGCCGGUGUAGUGGUGAAAUGCGUAGAGAUCGGCAGGAACACCCAGGGGGAAACCAGCCGACUGGGCAUCUACUGACGCUGAGGUGCGAGAGCGUGGGGAGCGAACAGG
RNAcentral lists this ribosomal RNA (253 nucleotides) under uncultured bacterium. RNAcentral describes it as "partial 16S ribosomal RNA". It matches the Rfam family "Bacterial small subunit ribosomal RNA", at positions 524 to 776 of the family's 1533-position model. The record is from RNAcentral.